RNAcentral lists this ribosomal RNA (620 nucleotides) under Filobasidium magnum. RNAcentral describes it as "eukaryotic LSU rRNA". It matches the Rfam family "Eukaryotic large subunit ribosomal RNA", at positions 48 to 654 of the family's 3401-position model. Lineage: Eukaryota; Fungi; Basidiomycota; Tremellomycetes; Filobasidiales; Filobasidiaceae. The record is from RNAcentral.
AAGCGGAGGAAAAGAAACUAACAAGGAUUCCCCUAGUAACGGCGAGUGAAGCGGGAAGAGCUCAAAUUUGAAAUCUGGUGGCCUCAGGUCAUCCGAGUUGUAAUCUAUAGAAGUGUUUUCCGUGCUGGCUCAUGUACAAGUCCCUUGGAACAGGGCGUCAUAGAGGGUGAGAAUCCCGUCCUUGACAUGAACUACCAGUGCUCUGUGAUACAUUUUCAACGAGUCGAGUUGUUUGGGAAUGCAGCUCAAAAUGGGUGGUAAAUUCCAUCUAAAGCUAAAUAUUGGCGAGAGACCGAUAGCGAACAAGUACCGUGAGGGAAAGAUGAAAAGCACUUUGGAAAGAGAGUUAAACAGUAUGUGAAAUUGUUGAAAGGGAAACGAUUGAAGUCAGUCGUGCUCUUUGGAUUCAGCCGGUUCUGCCGGUGUACUUCCUUUGAGUGGGGUCAACAUCAGUUUUGAUCGCUGGAUAAAGGCUGGAGGAACGUAGUACCCUCGGGUAAACUUAUAGCCUCCUGUCACAUACAGUGGUUGGGACUGAGGAACGCAGCACGCCUUUAUGGCCGGGAUUCGUCCACGUACGUGCUUAGGAUGUUGACAUAAUGGCUUUAAACGACCCGUCU